ACGUAGGGUGCAAGCGUUGUUCGGAUUUAUUGGGCGUAAAGGGUUCGCAGGGGGUUUUUUAAGUCUGAUGUGAAAUCCAACGGCUCAACCGUUGAACUGCAUUGGAAACUGAAGAACUAGAGUACUGGAGAGGUAAGUGGAAUUCCUGGUGGAGCGGUGGAAUGCGUAGAUAUCAGGAGGAACACCAAGAGCGAAGGCAACUUACUGGACAGUUACUGACCCUCAGGAACGAAAGCAUGGGUAGCAAACAGG
RNAcentral lists this ribosomal RNA (252 nucleotides) under uncultured bacterium. RNAcentral describes it as "partial 16S ribosomal RNA". It matches the Rfam family "Bacterial small subunit ribosomal RNA", at positions 525 to 776 of the family's 1533-position model. The record is from RNAcentral.